AUCCUAAGAGUCGGGGGAAA
Molecule: small nuclear RNA, 20 nt
Filed under: Arabidopsis thaliana (thale cress)
Lineage: Eukaryota; Viridiplantae; Streptophyta; Magnoliopsida; Brassicales; Brassicaceae
Description: snRNA_14098
Source: RNAcentral